Betta splendens (Siamese fighting fish) is the source of this 7831-nucleotide RNA transcript. It is a transcript of the gene named POU class 3 homeobox 1, with no coding region annotated. NCBI's taxonomy places the organism in Eukaryota, Metazoa, Chordata, Actinopteri, Anabantiformes, Osphronemidae. The record is from RefSeq and is a predicted model, not a curated record. The transcript has 4 exons.
UUUGACGCUCGGGUUUGGGCGACGUUCCCCAUCGGACGCUCUCACACGCUGUAAACACAGAUACACAGAGAGUACACACUUUUUGCAUGGACAUGUCACAUUUGUCUUUUUCAUAAACACAUAAUGUCCAAUGACUCAGCUACAGUGUAAAUACAAACCUGUAUUUAUAAAUAACAGGACUCAGUAUUCAGAAGUUGGAUGUACUGAUUUCACACAUUACACAAAGUUUUCUGCAACUCUAAUUAAAAGCAUUUAUUAUAACAAUACUAAUCAACAGCCACCAAUAAACUGAAGCACACACUCAGAUCCUUUGCUUUAUUUUAAACCCAAAGAUGUUUCGUUUAUAGAUACAUUUCAAGUAAAUCUGUGGGAUAACGUUUUCAUUUAACAAAAAAAAAAAAAAAAAAAAAAAAAAAAACAGACCAGCAGAAUGUCGCGGGAGCCCAGUGUUUUAGUGGCGCCAUCUUGGAUGGACAACGGUCAAGUACAAACAAACUUGGCUCAGCGCCAGGUGCUCUCAAAUCGGCAUAUUUAUUAAAAACGUUUCGCUUUUUUUUAAAAUAGUCGGGAAGGACGCGACUGCGACAGGCUUCGUCUACGUGUCACGAGCAAAUACUCACCGCUGGCUAAUUUGGUUAGUUAGUUUAGUAAGCAGUUAGCCAAAGUUAGGCAGCUUUGCUAACUAGCUUCUGAGCUACAGACCUGUGUGACCUUUACGUACCGGAACUUACAGCGGGACCAGAACAGAACCGCUCUCUGGAGAUUUGGACCGGACUCAACUAGUUUGAGACAUUUUGUGCCUUUGUGGCAGCCUGGCAUGGAAGAGGCUGUUGUUUACCCUGGUAAGCUGCCCAUUGUCUCUGCUGGGAAUUCCCUUUGGGAGAGAGUGCCAGGGGAGCGAGGCUCGGCGCAGCACAAGAAGCUAACUGCAGAGCUGCAAGCGGAGAAUUGGCUUGUCUGCAUCCACUGGGACCUGGUGCUAGGGACACAGGUUGACCGGCCUUCGUUCCAUUAGACUGCUCAUGUGGCGGCUCCCUUUUACUGUGAUGGUUUGCCAUUUACUUCAAUGGGACUGUGGAGGGAUGGCCGAUGAGAUGGGUUCGCCUAAGUGAACUAGGCUGCCUGCAGUGCAGGGGGAACAAUAGCUGCAUAGAUGACGGAAGACGGAAGGAACAGGCGUACAGUAGAUAUUAAUCAGAGAAUCUAAACGAAAAGUCAUGUGGAAAGUGGAUAAGAUGAUUGAUGUUUGAAAGACGUCUUUCUGUGACAAUAGGUUGCUCAUCCCAUUGCCAGACCAGCCUUAUCCUUUUAGUCUGGCAGCACUGAUUUUUGGUCUCCUGAAAGACUCUGGCGUGAAAUUUUGCUAAGCAUGGUUGAGAGCUGGAGAACAUGGAACACGGAUGAGCCGGGAUUAUGGAGGCCCGAAGCCCUCCCUUCGUCUGUGCCGUGUAGGGCACCUGUGAUCCUGAAGGUGUCCACGGACAACAAGGCCUUGUGUGCAGUGACACCACCCUCACAAAUCCCCCUCUGUCCCACUGUGCCACUCAUCUAUACAGUCCCGUCCACCUAACCCUAACCUCUCCACCCAGCCUGUCCCUGUGUUUCUCCCCUUCUGUUCCCUCCCCACAUGACUGUGCUCUUACUGUGAUUUUAUCACACUGAGCCAGAUGCAUGUUCGGCUGGAUGUGCUUUGUGUUUACAGAGUUUUGGAGUUUGGAGGCUUUGCAUGUAGUGAAGCAGCUUGGCUCAUGGGUGUGAGCUCAUUGUCUCAGGUGAGUCUUUGUGUGUCCAUCUGCAUACGCUGUUGACUGUGCAUGUCAGAAGCCAGUAGGCUGUCCUCACUGAGUUCUCCUCGUCAUCUCCCCAUAUUUGUCCUGUCCUUAAGGCCGGCGUUACACGCACGUUACGCUUUUCAUCUGCAGUCAAUACCCAUUGAGCUCUUCAUGAAUGGGAAAUGACAGCUAGUUCAUAACUUCCAAGGUUGAUCAAUAUGUAUCUGCACUGGCUCAACUCAUUCCUGAAUCUCUCCUCGCUCAAUUCCCAGUGCCACCUUUUGAAGCAAACCGUACGUGAUUGAAAAACGACCCCUAAUUUAUGUGGAAAGUGUGAUGUUAACACUGUUACGCUGUGUAAUGUGUUCUUCUGGAUUAUAAAUGAUACAGUAACUGCUUGACAAUGAAAGAGCCUGUUAUUUCAGCUGACCUUUAGCGGCUUGUACACGUGGCUGUGCUUGAGAAAUUUAGUCAGUGAUAAUAAUACAGCAUUAUCUACAUACUGUUAUUUAUAUAAUAAUACUUUGUGUGGUUGAUUGGAUAUUAGUUUUUGUAGAUUUGCAUUAAGUGAGGAAUGUCGAUGAACCGAGGUCUUUUUUGUGGUGAAUUCAUGGUGAAGCGCGCAUACUGUAUAGAUUGAGUGGUUAAAAUGGAUUUUUAAGUACUGAGUCAACAACCGAGACAUUGAUUCUGAGCUACUUGCAGUAACUCACCUGAAACACAUAUUUAUAUUUUGUGUGGACAGUGUGUGUGCUUUCAUAAUGUAGGAGGUUUAUUAUCUCUUUUUCUGCUCAGAUGACUGUAUAGAUGCUGCUAAUUGUUUUCCUACUGCGCGCCUUCAUUUAUACUCUUUACUUUUCACAUGUGCUGCUCUGAAUCACUGUGGUUGUGCACUGUGACCGUUAAUGGCUUCGCAUCUCACAGGUAUCAUGCACAACAAAGCCUGCAGCCCCCAUAAACACACACACUUGUCCCCAGAGUCCAGCCAUGUUGACACAGAAGACAGAGGAUUCUUUGAGGGCCGAACUAAGAAAGCUCAAGGCCAGGAGCUAAGGAAAGGCAAAAAAGGUGGAGGGGAGAGAAAUGAUAAAUAUCUUUGCUUACUUUUUUCAAACAAGAGGAAGAAAGCCCUCCCUUGCAGAGCUUGAAAUGCUGAAGGUCCGGUUGCGACCAGCCAGCAGGCAGCUGUGGCUCCAGCACUUCGCUCUGUAUCUCUGAGUCUCUCUCGCUUUCUGAUGCUUUCUCCCUCGACCUCCCGUUCAAAGCAAAGUUGGCUCCUUAUUUAUGUGCAAAUUUGCUCUUAGGCCCUACGAGGGUGGCGCGCAUGCUGAAUCUCUCCUUUCUGGGCUUUAGCAGAUUAUCCCGCUGCUCCCUUUGGUCCCCAUCGCCCUAAGCCCAGCUGCCCCGACCUUUUGUCAUUGAGACUUUCUCUUCUCGUCUUGGUGUCUUUUUUUUUACGCCCACCCCCUCCUUUUUUCCACCGUCCCUCCACACACUUCCCCCCACGCCGCAAGGCCUGAACUCUCUGGCUCUAGACGCCGCCGCCAUCACCUCCCUCCUCCUCCUCCUCACCUUCCUCCUUCCCCCUCCACCUUGUCCCUUGCCUCUCUUCUCCAUCUCCUGCCUCUUUCCUUCACUUUCUCUCAAAGGGCCAUUAUAUCGCUCUCUUCAUGGACAAAGGACCCUGGAGAGACACAGGGAAAGAGAAGGAGGGGGGAGAGAGAAGGAACAUGGCUUGUGCUUUGCUGCUCUCUCAUUCCUAAUCGAUGAAAGUGGCCCACGUGGAGCUCUGAAGGCUAAUCAAUACUUUUUUUUCAAGCUCUUUCUAUUUCUCCCUUUUUUUUGACCAUCCAUUUUGUUGCUGACUCUAACAAAACAUGAGGACAGAGCAGAAUAAGCAAGGGGAGGGUGUGGUGGGUGGAUGUUUGUAGGGAACACCCCCUGAUCACUUCCCUCUGGGGGGUUCUAGAAGAACAGUAGAAAUGUGUUUCGACCAGUGCAGAACAAGUUUGUGUCUAGUGCAGUAGAACACUCGGCGCGGAACGGAUGGAAAUGUGAGAGUGAAAUCAACAAUGUGACCUCAGCUGACCGCAUCUGUACCAGUGCGCCAGCCCUCCAUCCCACCCGCCUCACACGUUUGCCCCUUUUCUCUCGCCGCUGCCUCCCCGCCGGGUUAGGUUGCUGAGCAAACAGAAGGCAAAGAGUUGACUCUUUCUCCGGCUCAGCUCGCCGUAUGGGUGCAUGGAGGGAUUUGGGAAGCCUCAGUCUGCUAAGCCACUUCAUUGUAUUCUUCUCCAUCUUCCCUCUCUCACCUCUCCCCUCUCUCUGUCUUCCGUUCUCACACUGUCUACGCCUGUGCUCUGUCUAGUCCACAUAAAUACUAAGCAGUGUUGCCGUAGAAUAAAUUAAAAUCUGUUUGACGUUAAAAAAGCUGCCUUCCUCCACUUUUACCAUCUUUAGACAGCGACAGCAUAUUUUAAUGUUGAUAACCUGCUGACAGAAGAACAUUUAAUAGAGUAUUUUUAUUUUUCAGACAACAAUACACUUAGAGAACAGUUGAAGUGUCAAUCUGUAGGUCAGUAUACAGUAUUUGUCUGUAGAGAUAUACAUACUGCAAACACCACUAAAGCAAAUUUGUCUGGGAGCUUUGUUUAUGUAUUUGUGUGUCUCACACACAAAACCAUGCACAAAACACAGAGAUAUGCUUUGUGAAGAAUACAACACAGGCUGAUCCAUCAGUUCUCAGCUUCUCUAAUCCUCUAUUAGUCAUAACCUAAUGAUAUACAACGAUAGCUCUACAAGGAUUCCCGUUUUCUUCACUGGUACGCGCUAAAGAUUGAACUUUAAAACAAAUUGGAUAAUUUAAUUAAAACUAAAUGAGAUGAAAUGAAUUUACUCAUGAAGCUUAUUCUCUACUCACGCAAUACAAAACAUGCAGUACAUAACACUGCAACUCGGGGACCUUGUUCCACCCUCCUGACUGUUUCACACACCUGUCUAACUGGAUAUUUAACAGCUUUUUCCCUUCCCUAUCACCCUCCCAACACCAGCAGAGAGAAACAAUUACGCUCAACUCUGCCACUGAAAUGACAAUGCGACAUCCUCUUCACUUUACACCACCCGACUGUUAACCGUAUGUGGUAAUUACCUUUUUGCAGCGUCUUCGCAGUCACUUUAUUAGUCUCCUAACAAGGCUUUUUCAAAUAUAAAUAGCAGCCAAUGAAAUGGCAAUUAACCUUGCAAAUAGGUAUAAAUGACUGUCCAGGAGAGAAGGGUAUUGACGGGGAGCGAGAAAGGGAGCGAGGAAGAUGAGAUGGGGAUGAAGAGGGGGGGAAAGCAGACAGACAGAGAAAUAUUCAGGCAAUGGUGGGAGAUGAUGCAGCCCAUAGGCAAACUGCUCCCAUGGGCCAUUGUUUGUUGUGUCUGCGCUGACCAUUGUUUCGGUCCCUAUUAACCUCUUGGCCCCCUGUGUGAGAGCGGGAAAGGAUGGGAAGAUUCAAAAUGACAGACAUGGCCUAGUGACAUGGGAGGUGAGGAGUGGUUUUAACAGGAGCUUAGGGGCAGUGGGGACCCUCUCUGUCUGUCUACAUAAGGAGGGGGGCCUGCAGGGGUUGCAUGUGAGAGAGAGGGAGUGUGUCUGCUCCAGUUUGGAGGGAACAGUGGGGAAUGUGGGGCUGACCAGAAGAGGGAGGAGUUGGCCAGACCAAGAGCAGUCUGGGAAAUGUGAUCCUAGACGGGCGCUGCUGAUGCACCUGCUCUCAUACUUGUGGGGUUGUAUUGUCUGUCUUCACCGAGUGGCUUUAAACUAUUUUACAUGUUUCAUUGAGAUGAUGUAUUACCCAACGGCCAAUUGUGUGAAGACGUUCUACCAUGCUUACAUUUUUUUACUCCUAUAUUACACGACAUGACAUGUCACUCCAAUUUUCCACUUUGGAGGAGUAUUUGAGAAGAACAUAGCUGUUAAACUUGUAAGUAAUGCUUGCCCAAUGUUUGCUGUGCUCCAUUAUAUUGGUCUUUACUAGUCAAAUAUACAAAAGGAAUUUGUCUUGUAAAAAACAGAAAUAGAAAUUACAGAAGGGACUACGAAAGUAUAAUGGUUUGUAAGAGCAGUAGUAGUUUGUGAAAAUGAUAAAAAAAUAUGUAUUUCAGUGGCAUCUGUUUACAAAAACAUCAUUGUCUACCACAGAAGACAGAUUUUAGUGUAUCGGGCCUGAGAGUCGUAUCUGUCAUCACAUUUAUCUCUGUAACAACAGGCUUCAAUGGCUUGGCCCUCACAAACCCACUGUUCCUUCAUGAGUCCAUGUGGUGCUUCAUGAGUCAGUGUGUCACAUCACGAAGCCGCUAGGAAAAGCUUCUGUCGAUUUACAUGGGGACACACCAUUUCCUGCAUAGGAAGGGUGCCGCCUGUGCUCCCUCUUACUGUAUGUGUCCAAGCAUUACAGGAUUGGGAGAACACUCGAGCUAACCUCUGAGAGCCUUACCUGUGCUCUAGCGUGCAAUGAAAUGACAACUCCUCGCCACACAGUGAGAGCCAGUGGGAAGAUGGAGCUGGUGGAAGGUAGCCCUAAGAGGAUGAACUGUGGGAUUUAUAGUCUUGUGGGUAGGGCCGAGUGCCAGAUAUUCCAGCUGAAAGUCCUGUGGAUCAGAUGAAGCUGUCAAGCAGGGCAGUGAGAUGAGAGAACCAUGGGGAGAGGGAGCUUGAAGAUGGAGGCCAGGCAGGGAAGCUCCUCGGAUAGCGGAGACAGAGAGCUUAGGCUGGGGAUCAGGGUAGUUUUACUGGAAACUGUCAAAGGUAGAGAGGGAGUGAGGGAGAACUGAGAUAGCGUGUGUGACGAGAGAAUUAAUGAGGUGAAGAAAUGGAAAGUUUAACACAAAAUCAUUCCCACAAAGAUCAGAUUAAGAAAGUGGGUUAAACUCAAUUUUGACUUAAUUUGUAUUGUGAGCAGGACACUUCAGCGCCACAAGAGACGAGUGUGUAAAAGGAGGGGUUCAGCUCCUGAAACCUGCAGCCACUUUAACCAAGAGCCAUUUGAGUAGAAGACAUAAAGGGUCAGCAGACCCGACAAGUCGCAUGAGCAGUGUUUAACGUGUCGCGGUGCGUCUGGGCCUCACUCUUCUGGGGGAGCCUGGGAAAGUUGUGUUAAAUUACGCAGAAGGAGGGAGUGGGACCCUGUCAGGACGUGGCGUGGCGUUGUGCGGAGUGCAGCGGAUGGACAUGGCAUGGUUAUGCCCCCCGGAGUGCACUGUCAGGCCUCAUGACCGCAUUGUGUGACCACACAGAGAUGCUCAUGCACACACACACACUUUGAGGAUAAAGCCCGAGCAAAGGGCAAGAAAAGGAGCCAUGGGAUCUACCUCCGUCUGCACUGACCUCCCAACAUGCCUGUUUAUGCAUUUUACUACAAAAGAAAAACUGGACGUAAAAUAUUCACUGAAUUCAUCUAUAGCAAACAUCCACUUACAUUUCAAAAGGGUGGGUUGUUUUCUCAGAGCUUUGUAAAUGCAGUAUUAGCAUUCACACUGUUAACCUGAAAUAGUCGGUGGUUUCCCAAUUUACUGAAAGUAAGACCUGGGGUAAAUCUGGUCAGUGAUGAGAAACCUAUUCACAGUGAAACUGUCAUAUCAGUAGAAGGUGUGAUACUUAAUGUAAUGUACCCAUUUAACUAACAGCAGGUGACGGUCUAGAGGAAAAGUUUCCUAAAUGGACGGAAACCUCCAGCAGAACCAGGCACAGGCGGCGCAGACGGCUGUCACAUCAGCAGUUUCAUUUUCAUUUUCGCACUUUUAAAGUAACGCACUUUGUCACUGUCAAACACAACAACAAAAACCUGCCAGAUAGACACAAAGUACUGAAAUCGUUGACUAAAUCCUGUCUGUUCAACAGACAAGUUUUGUUGCUACAGCGCAACUAGAGGUUUGUACUGCACGCUCUAAGCUUAAAAACAUUGUGCGUAGACAAUAACUUCAUUAGGAGAAAAAUCCUGUUGGUUUUCAGGGGAUAAAGGAUACGUACGUACAGUAUCCUUGUCCUUUGUUCUGCUCUCUGCUGAAACCAUCCU